CCGUGGUCGGGCGGCGGGCCGUCCCUGUGGCCCAGGGCCACGGAGAGCGCUUCUCCCAGAUCGGCAGGCGGCUGUGCCGCGGCCGCCUCCGCGAUC
This 96-nucleotide transfer RNA is filed under the name Streptomyces nojiriensis. RNAcentral describes it as "tRNA-Leu". Lineage: Bacteria; Bacillati; Actinomycetota; Actinomycetes; Kitasatosporales; Streptomycetaceae. The record is from RNAcentral.